Molecule: ribosomal RNA, 447 nt
Filed under: uncultured bacterium
Lineage: Bacteria
Description: bacterial SSU rRNA
Rfam family: Bacterial small subunit ribosomal RNA
Source: RNAcentral
UCGGGAAUUUUGUGCAAUGGGCGAAAGCCUGACACAGCAACGCCGCGUGAAGGAUGAAGCCCCUCGGGAUGUAAACUUCGUAAGAAUAGGAAGAAUAAAUGACGGUACUAUUUGUAAGGUCCGGCUAACUACGUGCCAGCAGCCGCGGUAAUACGUAGGGACCAAGCGUUGUUCGGAUUUACUGGGCGUAAAGGGCGCGUAGGCGGCAAUUCAAGUCAUCUGUGAAAUCUCCGGGCUUAACUCGGAACGGUCAGAUGAUACUGCUUUGCUAGAGUGCAGAAGGGGCAAUCGGAAUUCUUGGUGUAGCGGUGAAAUGCGUAGAUAUCAAGAGGAACACCUGAGGUGAAGACGACCACCUGGACUGAUACUGACACUGAGGUGCGAAAGCGUGGGGAGCAAACAGGAUUAGAUACCCAGGUAGUCCCUGAGCGGGCUGGCAAGGCGCAU